CCCUUAGAUGUCCUGGGCCGCACGCGCGUUACACUGAUGCAUUCAACGAGCUUAUAACCUUGGCCGAGAGGCCUGGGCAAUCUUGUUAACGUGCAUCGUGAUAGGGAUAGAUUAUUGAAAUUAUUAAUCUUGAACGAGGAAUUCCUAGUAACCGCAGAUCAUCAAUCUGCAUUGAUUACGUCCCUGCCCUUUGUACACACCGCCCGUCGCACCUACCGAUUGGAUGGUCCGGUGAAGCCUCGGGAUUGUGGUUCUUGCCGCUUUAUUGUGGCGUGACCGCGAGAACUUGUCUAAACCUUAUCAUCUAGAGGAAGGUGAAGUCGUAACA
This 328-nucleotide ribosomal RNA is filed under the name uncultured eukaryote. Its description in RNAcentral is "partial 18S ribosomal RNA". It matches the Rfam family "Eukaryotic small subunit ribosomal RNA", at positions 1470 to 1796 of the family's 1831-position model. The record is from RNAcentral.